Molecule: long non-coding RNA, 278 nt
Filed under: Bos taurus (domestic cattle)
Lineage: Eukaryota; Metazoa; Chordata; Mammalia; Artiodactyla; Bovidae
Description: long non-coding RNA NONBTAT005751
Source: RNAcentral
GGCUGGCUUUAUGGAGGAGGUAAUCCUUAAAACGGGUCUUAAAAGGAGACAUUGUAAAAAGGUAAAUCAGAUCUAGAUGAGUAAUAGUAAGUGCUCUAAGAGUUUAGCAGGAGAGAUCAGUAGUUACUCAAGAGAUUAGAGAAUAUUUUGGGGAAGACAUGGGACAUGAACUUGCCUUUGAGCAUUGGAUGAUACUUGAGUUAGUACAGGAAAAUCAUUCCACGUUGAAAAGCCAUAUGAACAGAAAUACUGAAAUAAGUCAUGUGAGUUAAAUCAUA